Molecule: ribosomal RNA, 468 nt
Filed under: uncultured bacterium
Lineage: Bacteria
Description: partial 16S ribosomal RNA
Rfam family: Bacterial small subunit ribosomal RNA
Source: RNAcentral
GACGAACGCUGGCGGCGUGCUUAACACAUGCAAGUCGAACGGAAAGGCACUGCUUUCGUGGGGUGCUCGAGUGGCGAACGGGUGAGUAACACGUGAGUAACCUGCCCUUGACUUUGGGAUAACUUAAGGAAACUGGGGCUAAUAUCGGAUAGGAGAUCCUGCUGCAUGGAGGGGGUUGGAAAGUCUCGGCGGUUGGGGAUGGACUCGCGGCUUAUCAGCUUGUUGGUGGGGUAGUGGCUUACCAAGGCUUUGACGGGUAGCCGGCCUGAGAGGGUGACCGGCGACAUUGGGACUGAGAUACGGCCCAGACUCCUACGGUAGGCAGCAGUGGGAAAUAUUGCACAGUGAGCGGGAGCCUGUUGCAGCAACGUCGCGUGCGGGAUGACGGCCUUCGGGUUGUAAACCGCUUUCGCCUGUGACGAAGCGUGAGUGACGGUAAUGGAUGAAUAAGCACCGGCUAACUACGUG